This is a small nucleolar RNA of Callithrix jacchus (white-tufted-ear marmoset), 102 nucleotides long. The record is from Ensembl. NCBI's taxonomy places the organism in Eukaryota, Metazoa, Chordata, Mammalia, Primates, Cebidae.
AUAGUCUGUAGUGCAUAAGCCUGAUGCCCUGUGUUCAUGCACACACGUGACAUGUGCCUCCCUCCAGCCUUGUUACCAUGUCAGUACAUAGCCUAUCUUACA